Molecule: long non-coding RNA, 581 nt
Filed under: Setaria italica (foxtail millet)
Lineage: Eukaryota; Viridiplantae; Streptophyta; Magnoliopsida; Poales; Poaceae
Description: long non-coding RNA (SITA_LNC003803)
Source: RNAcentral
CUGUUUAGCGAUUUUGCACUUGGGCACAAAUAUAAAAGAGCUCUGCCAUAACAGGAUUGAGACGGUUCUAAAAUUCUUCAAGAUGAAUGAGCCUGAGAUUUCCGUUUGUCCUCAGAUUGUUUAGCUGCACAGAAACGGACUAAUUGCGAAGUCACUAGACAUGAUUCUUUGCACUGGUGAGGAAGAAAGGUGAGUAGCCGUCGGAGCAAGAGAAGAGAAGCUUGCUCUCUUGCUGUCUGUUGCUCUUGCUCCGGCCGUGACAUGGUGUUUCCCAAUCGAAGCUUGGAGGUGCGGCUUGGGGAAGAGAAGGAGUCGAAUGGGGAGCCGCCGGUCGUAGCCGCUGACGCCUCCGGGCGCAGCCGCCGGACGCACUGGCCGCUGCCGCGGGGCUGCAGCUGCUGGGGGAGGGUAGAGGAGUGGGGAACAGGGAGCGUACUAGUCACUUGGUCGUCUUCCCCUCCGGGCGCAGCCACAGAGCCAUCCCCGCCGCCGCCGCCGCAUUUGCAAGGGAGAGGACUCGCCGGACAGUAUUUUGCCCACGCGCGUUGGAGCCGUGCCCUUCCAUUUUUCGGCCGGGGAAA